AAACCAACUGGGAUUGCCUUAGUAACGGCGAGUGAAGCGGCAAAAGCUCAAAUUUGAAAUCUGGCGCCUUUGGUGUCCGAGUUGUAAUUUGAAGAAAGUAACUUUUGAAAUGAGCCUUGCAUAAGUUCCUUGGAACAGGACGUCAUAGAGGGUGAGAAUCCCGUAUAUGGUGGGGUAUUCAUUUCAAUGUAAAGUGCUUUCGAAGAGUCGAGUUGUUUGGGAAUGCAGCUCUAAGUGGGUGGUAAAUUCCAUCUAAAGCUAAAUAUUGGCGAGAGACCGAUAGCGAACAAGUACAGUGAUGGAAAGAUGAAAAGAACUUUGAAAAGAGAGUGAAAAAGUACGUGAAAUUGUUGAAAGGGAAGGGCUUGAAAUCAGACUUGGUAUUCAGUGAUCAGCGAUCUCUUGGGGUUGUGCACUUGCUGUUUACUGGGCCAGCAUCGGUUUUGACGGUGGGAUAAGAGUACUUGAAUGUGGCUCCCUUCGGGGAGUGUUUAUAGCCUGUGCUGAUACUACCAGUUGAGACCGAGGACCGCGCAUUUUUGCUAGGAUGCUGGCGUAAUGAUUUUAAGCCAC
RNAcentral lists this ribosomal RNA (573 nucleotides) under [Candida] sp. NCAIM Y.01957. RNAcentral's name for it is "eukaryotic LSU rRNA". It matches the Rfam family "Eukaryotic large subunit ribosomal RNA", at positions 62 to 648 of the family's 3401-position model. Lineage: Eukaryota; Fungi; Ascomycota; Saccharomycetes; Saccharomycetales. The record is from RNAcentral.